UAUAAAAUCGUUUUCUUGUGUAGUCAGUUAAUAGUCCAUUUAAAUGCAUAAAACUAUUUGAAUCAAAUAUUAGUGUUUCAUGACCAUCUAAUCCUUUUGAUAACCUUUGUCAAACACACAUGUACAAUAUCAGUUUAUUUUUCUUUAUUCUUGCUUCAAUUAGCACAACAUCAUCAUUGUUGCAUGGACAUGAACUCAGACACAUGUCCAAGUUCGGCAAGAGGAGAAAAAGGAGAUACGGGGAUACAUAGAAAAAGAUAAUUUUAAUUAAAAAUAUCUUAGAAAAGAAAACACUAGAAGAUAUCACAUGAUAAAGUUUUUCAAUAUGCAUGUUUCUCAUCAAAAUUUCCUAAUUAUCUUAAGUAUUUUCAAAAAAAUGAGAUUUUGCAAAAUUAUUUUAAGGUUUACAUUUUUGACCGAUAUUUAAAAAGAAUAAAGUUAAUUUUUUUAUAUCUAAGUGUUUGACACAUAUCCGAACAUCAUAGACCUCCUUCUAAACACUGAUGUGCACCUUUCCCUUCAAAUU
Molecule: long non-coding RNA, 526 nt
Filed under: Phoenix dactylifera (date palm)
Lineage: Eukaryota; Viridiplantae; Streptophyta; Magnoliopsida; Arecales; Arecaceae
Description: long non-coding RNA (PDAC_LNC008091)
Source: RNAcentral